Molecule: transfer RNA, 68 nt
Filed under: Mekongiella kingdoni
Lineage: Eukaryota; Metazoa; Arthropoda; Insecta; Orthoptera; Pyrgomorphidae
Also listed under: 1 other name
Description: tRNA-Ala
Rfam family: tRNA
About the family: Transfer RNA (tRNA) molecules are approximately 80 nucleotides in length.
Source: RNAcentral
GGGGGUAUAGUUAAUUAUAACAUCUGGUUUGCAUUUAGAAAGUAUUGAAAUUUACUCAAUUUCCCUCA